RNAcentral lists this ribosomal RNA (1029 nucleotides) under Neopestalotiopsis rhizophorae. RNAcentral's name for it is "SSU rRNA". It matches the Rfam family "Eukaryotic small subunit ribosomal RNA", at positions 71 to 1110 of the family's 1831-position model. The record is from RNAcentral. Lineage: Eukaryota; Fungi; Ascomycota; Sordariomycetes; Amphisphaeriales; Sporocadaceae.
GCAUUAUACAGCGAAACUGCGAAUGGCUCAUUAAAUCAGUUAUCGUUUAUUUGAUAGUACCUUACUACUUGGAUAACCGUGGUAAUUCUAGAGCUAAUACAUGCUAAAAACCCCGACUCACGAAGGGGUGUAUUUAUUAGAUUAAAAACCAAUGCCCUUCGGGGCUCUUUGGUGAUUCAUAAUAACUUUUCGAAUCGCAUGGCCUUGCGCCGGCGAUGGUUCAUUCAAAUUUCUGCCCUAUCAACUUUCGAUGGCAGGGUCUUGGCCUGCCAUGGUUACAACGGGUAACGGAGGGUUAGGGCUCGACCCCGGAGAAGGAGCCUGAGAAACGGCUACUACAUCCAAGGAAGGCAGCAGGCGCGCAAAUUACCCAAUCCCGAUUCGGGGAGGUAGUGACAAUAAAUACUGAUACAGGGCUCUUUUGGGUCUUGUAAUUGGAAUGAGUACAAUUUAAAUCCCUUAACGAGGAACAAUUGGAGGGCAAGUCUGGUGCCAGCAGCCGCGGUAAUUCCAGCUCCAAUAGCGUAUAUUAAAGUUGUUGCAGUUAAAAAGCUCGUAGUUGAACCUUGGGCCUGGCUGGCCGGUCCGCCUCACCGCGUGCACUGGUUCGGCCGGGCCUUUCCCUCUGGGGAACCUCAUGGUCUUCACUGAUCGUGAUGGGGAACCAGGACUUUUACUGUGAAAAAAUUAGAGUGUUCAAAGCAGGCCUAUGCUCGAAUACAUUAGCAUGGAAUAAUAAAAUAGGACGUGUGGUUCUAUUUUGUUGGUUUCUAGGACCGCCGUAAUGAUUAAUAGGGACAGUCGGGGGCAUCAGUAUUCAAUUGUCAGAGGUGAAAUUCUUGGAUUUAUUGAAGACUAACUACUGCGAAAGCAUUUGCCAAGGAUGUUUUCAUUAAUCAGGAACGAAAGUUAGGGGAUCGAAGACGAUCAGAUACCGUCGUAGUCUUAACCAUAAACUAUGCCGACUAGGGAUCGGACGGUGUUACUUAUUGACCCGUUCGGCACCUUACGAGAAAUCAAAGUCUUUGG